This 88-nucleotide transfer RNA is filed under the name Bacteroidota bacterium. RNAcentral's name for it is "Bacteroidetes bacterium (freshwater metagenome) tRNA-Leu". It matches the Rfam family "tRNA". From Rfam's summary of the family: Transfer RNA (tRNA) molecules are approximately 80 nucleotides in length. Their secondary structure includes four short double-helical elements and three loops (D, anti-codon, and T loops). Further hydrogen bonds mediate the characteristic L-shaped molecular structure. tRNAs have two regions of fundamental functional importance: the anti-codon, which is responsible for specific mRNA codon recognition, and the 3' end, to which the tRNAs corresponding amino acid is attached (by aminoacyl-tRNA synthetases). tRNAs cope with the degeneracy of the genetic code in two manners: having more than one tRNA (with a specific anti-codon) for a particular amino acid; and 'wobble' base-pairing, i.e. permitting non-standard base-pairing at the 3rd anti-codon position. Lineage: Bacteria; Pseudomonadati; Bacteroidota. The record is from RNAcentral.
GCCCGGGUGGUGGAAUCGGUAGACACGAAGGACUUAAAAUCCUUUGAUCAUUGCGAUCGUGCGGGUUCAAGUCCCGCCCCGGGUACCA